RNAcentral lists this ribosomal RNA (468 nucleotides) under uncultured bacterium. RNAcentral's name for it is "partial 16S ribosomal RNA". It matches the Rfam family "Bacterial small subunit ribosomal RNA", at positions 28 to 507 of the family's 1533-position model. The record is from RNAcentral.
GACGAACGCUGGCGGCGUGCUUAACACAUGCAAGUCGAACGGAAAGGCCCUGCUUUUGUGGGGUGCUCGAGUGGCGAACGGGUGAGUAACACGUGAGUAACCUGCCCUUGACUUUGGGAUAACUUCAGGAAACUGGGGCUAAUACCGGAUAGGAGCUCCUGCUGCAUGGUGGGGGUUGGAAAGUUUCGGCGGUUGGGGAUGGACUCGCGGCUUAUCAGCUUGGUGGUGGGGUAGUGGCUUACCAAGGCUUUGACGGGUAGCCGGCCUGAGAGGGUGACCGGCCACAUCGGGACUGAGAUACGGCCCAGACUCCUACGGGAGGCAGCAGUGGGGAAUAUUGCACAAUGGGCGGAAGCCUGAUGCAGCAACGCCGCGUGCGGGAUGACGGCCUUCGGGUUGUAAACCGCUUUCGCCUGUGACGAAGCGUGAGUGACGGUAAUGGGUAAAGAAGCACCGGCUAACUACGUG